GCGGCGAAAGAAUAGGCUUCUUCCUCUAUAAGACGAGCUGCGUCGGCGGCCUCUUCUUGGGGUACAGUGCCAUAGCGCUUGGAGAGAACAGAGGGGUUCGAGAGCGUCUCGAUCAGGCGUUUGAUGACAGCAUCACGAGUGCGUUGCGACGGGGGCCAAAUACUGAACGAGGUGUUAAAAGACUUGGGUGAUUUGGUUGACUCCUUAGCCUGAUCUCCACCUUGGGAAUCCACAGGAGGGGUGGGAGAAUCCUGUUCGGUGGGUGGCACGGCGGCGAUCUGAGGCUCAGACAUUUUGGGUGUUACUGCUCUG
This 312-nucleotide unclassified non-coding RNA is filed under the name Hevea brasiliensis (rubber tree). Lineage: Eukaryota; Viridiplantae; Streptophyta; Magnoliopsida; Malpighiales; Euphorbiaceae. The record is from RNAcentral.